AUGGAAGGUGACGGCGAGACCUCGGCGGCGGAGGCGGCGCUCGGACUGAGCCCUCAGACCUUCAUCAACGAGGUCCUCAACUUCGUCGACGACGUCUGCUUCCAGGCCUUCGACUACUGCCUCCAGUUACGCGUCGGAUCCCUCUCCGUAGCUUCCCCCCCUUUGCCGCCUACCGGUUUUGCUAACUUUGCCCUUUCGCUGUCAUUCUACAGGGAAGGCGCCCCCACGGCGGUCGGCGCCGCCACGGCGACCAAUAAGGCCGAGGAGCUGAAACGGGGAGUAAAUGAAAUUCACCACUUGGUAAAGGAUGUAUUGGACAAGAGAAUGAACAAUUGGGAGAUGUAUUGCCUUCGGAAAUGUUUAACUGUACCUGAAGGAUUUGUGGCACCUGAAGAUGAUAAUUCUUCUGCAAUGGUGUUGCAUAAAGAUGGGAAUUCUGAUUCGGAACUGGAUGCAGAACUUAAUUCUUUGAGAAAAAAACUGGCAGAUGCUAACAAGGAAUCUGAAGAACUUCAAAGAGAAAUUUCUUCCUUGGAAAGGCAAACUACAUACAAGAGUAACCUUAAUUCCUCUAUCGCUGAAGUACUGAAGUUGUUUGAAGACAAAUCUGUUCAGGAGAAUAUACAAGCUAUUGCGAACACAAUACCAAAAUUGCACCAGAAAAUGAAGGUUAUGAAAAGGAAAAAGGUUGAGCUUGAGGCCAUGGUGGGCCAAAAUGUUUGGAACGUCAAUUGUCUUAGAGACCAGAAGCGUUUAGCACCGGGUUCCGCUCCUAGCACUGAGGACAUGCAAGAGGUGAAUGCGGCUGUGAAUGACUCGCGGAAGGAGUAA
This 831-nucleotide ribosomal RNA is filed under the name Triticum aestivum (bread wheat). Its description in RNAcentral is "partial small subunit ribosomal RNA". Lineage: Eukaryota; Viridiplantae; Streptophyta; Magnoliopsida; Poales; Poaceae. The record is from RNAcentral.